Long non-coding RNA from Etheostoma spectabile (orangethroat darter), 142 nucleotides. RefSeq lists it as uncharacterized. Lineage: Eukaryota; Metazoa; Chordata; Actinopteri; Perciformes; Percidae. The transcript has 3 exons. The record is from RefSeq and is a predicted model, not a curated record.
UCUCACUGUUGAUUUGAUGAACUUUUUCCACUGUUUUUUAAGUUCAAUUAUUGCAACAUCUUUCCAGAAGUCAACGAGUAAUCGUGCUAAAUGAUCGUGAUUUCCAUAUUGAUCAAAAAUCGUGAUUAUGUUUUUUCCCAUA